This 915-nucleotide ribosomal RNA is filed under the name human gut metagenome. Its description in RNAcentral is "bacterial SSU rRNA". It matches the Rfam family "Bacterial small subunit ribosomal RNA", at positions 11 to 893 of the family's 1533-position model. The record is from RNAcentral.
GUUUGAUCCUGGCUCAGGACGAACGCUGGCGGCGUGCCUAAUACAUGCAAGUCGAACGAAGCUUUCUUUCACCGAAUGCUUGCAUUCACCGAAAGAAGCUUAGUGGCGAACGGGUGAGUAACACGUAGGCAACCUGCCCAAAAGAGGGGGAUAACACUUGGAAACAGGUGCUAAUACCGCAUAACCAUGAACACCGCAUGAUGUUCAUGUAAAAGACGGCUUUUGCUGUCACUUUUGGAUGGGCCUGCGGCGUAUUAACUUGUUGGUGGGGUAACGGCCUACCAAGGUGAUGAUACGUAGCCGAACUGAGAGGUUGAUCGGCCACAUUGGGACUGAGACACGGCCCAAACUCCUACGGGAGGCAGCAGUAGGGAAUCUUCCACAAUGGACGAAAGUCUGAUGGAGCAACGCCGCGUGAAUGAAGAAGGCCUUCGGGUCGUAAAAUUCUGUUGUCAGAGAAGAACGUGCGUGAGAGUAACUGUUCACGUAUUGACGGUAUCUGACCAGAAAGCCACGGCUAACUACGUGCCAGCAGCCGCGGUAAUACGUAGGUGGCGAGCGUUGUCCGGAUUUAUUGGGCGUAAAGGGAACGCAGGCGGUCUUUUAAGUCUGAUGUGAAAGCCUUCGGCUUAACCGAAGUAGUGCAUUGGAAACUGGAAGACUUGAGUGCAGAAGAGGAGAGUGGAACUCCAUGUGUAGCGGUGAAAUGCGUAGAUAUAUGGAAGAACACCAGUGGCGAAAGCGGCUCUCUGGUCUGUAACUGACGCUGAGGUUCGAAAGCGUGGGUAGCAAACAGGAUUAGAUACCCUGGUAGUCCACGCCGUAAACGAUGAGUGCUAAGUGUUGGAGGGUUUCCGCCCUUCAGUGCUGCAGCUAACGCAUUAAGCACUCCGCCUGGGGAGUACGGUCGCAAGA